Long non-coding RNA from Anopheles funestus (African malaria mosquito), 502 nucleotides. RefSeq lists it as uncharacterized. The transcript is spliced from 2 exons. Lineage: Eukaryota; Metazoa; Arthropoda; Insecta; Diptera; Culicidae. The record is from RefSeq and is a predicted model, not a curated record.
UGCUAUUUAUUGAAAAAAAAAAUCAAAGCUGACAUUUGUUAUGACACCCUUUUUAACAACCUUGUUUUCAGCUUAUUUACCUGAACCAACAAAACUGUCACCUGGGUGCUGCUGUCUGUACAUGCCGGCAUCCUUGCUUGUACGACAUCUUUUUCUUUCCAUCUAAAACUUCGAGCCGUACGGGUGCGCCGCUGGGAAAACGAUCUUCACUUUACCAACGCUGUUUUCCAAUAACUUUUACUAAUGGAAGUUCAGUGUUCCGACCAAUAUGGAAGCACACAACAUUUUGUGUACUUCCGCAGCGUUAAUAUCACACAAAGCAUAUUUGUUCUGAUAAGGAAGCAGUUUUAAUUGAAUGACAACCCAACCCGCAUCGACGGGUUUGCAGUAAAGAGAAGAAAUCGACGACAUGCAGCUAUUUAGAAGAUACUUUUAAACGGAACGCGCAUCUCUCAUGAUUUAGCAUUUGGCAAUAAAAUUAGCGCAAAUGUUUACCUUUUAA